Molecule: ribosomal RNA, 541 nt
Filed under: uncultured Gallionellaceae bacterium
Lineage: Bacteria; Pseudomonadati; Pseudomonadota; Betaproteobacteria; Nitrosomonadales; Gallionellaceae
Description: bacterial SSU rRNA
Rfam family: Bacterial small subunit ribosomal RNA
Source: RNAcentral
AGUGGGGGAUAACGUACCGAAAGGUACGCUAAUACCGCAUAUGCCCUGAGGGGGAAAGGGGGGGAUCGUAAGACCUCUCGCUUUCGGAGUGGCCGAUAUCGGAUUAGCUAGUAGGUGAGGUAAAGGCUCACCUAGGCGACGAUCCGUAGCUGGUCUGAGAGGACGACCAGCCACACUGGGACUGAGACACGGCCCAGACUCCUACGGGAGGCAGCAGUGGGGAAUUUUGGACAAUGGGCGCAAGCCUGAUCCAGCCAUGCCGCGUGAGUGAAGAAGGCCUUCGGGUUGUAAAGCUCUUUCAGCUGGAAAGAAAUCAUAUCUACUAAUACUAGGUGUGGAUGACGGUACCAGUAGAAGAAGCACCGGCUAACUACGUGCCAGCAGCCGCGGUAAUACGUAGGGUGCGAGCGUUAAUCGGAAUUACUGGGCGUAAAGCGUGCGCAGGCGGCUUUUUAAGCCAGAUGUGAAAUCCCCGGGCUUAACCUGGGAACUGCAUUUGGAACUGGAAGGCUAGAGUGUAGCAGAGGGGGGUAGAAUUCCA